Molecule: small RNA, 29 nt
Filed under: Bombyx mori (domestic silkworm)
Lineage: Eukaryota; Metazoa; Arthropoda; Insecta; Lepidoptera; Bombycidae
Description: ovarian small RNA-13257
Source: RNAcentral
CAGCUCUAACACGAUUAGCGCACGGUUUC